Molecule: ribosomal RNA, 892 nt
Filed under: uncultured bacterium
Lineage: Bacteria
Description: bacterial SSU rRNA
Rfam family: Bacterial small subunit ribosomal RNA
Source: RNAcentral
AGAGUUUGAUCAUGGCUCAGAUUGAACGCUGGCGGAAUGCUUUACACAUGCAAGUCGAACGGCAGCACGGAGAGCUUGCUCUCUGGUGGCGAGUGGCGAACGGGUGAGUAAUAUAUCGGAACGUGUCCAAUAAUGGGGGAUAACGAGUCGAAAGAUUCGCUAAUACCGCAUACGCCCUACGGGGGAAAGCAGGGGAUCGUAAGACCUUGCGUUAAUGGAGCGGCCGAUAUCUGAUUAGCUUGUUGGUGAGGUAAAGGCUCACCAAGGCGACGAUCAGUAGCUGGUUUGAGAGAACGACCAGCCACACUGGAACUGAGACACGGUCCAGACUCCUACGGGAGGCAGCAGUGGGGAAUUUUGGACAAUGGGGGCAACCCUGAUCCAGCCAUUCCGCGUGAGUGAAGAAGGCCUUCGGGUUGUAAAGCUCUUUCGCGAGGGAAGAAAACUUGUGAUCGAAUAAAUCAUGAGGUUGACGGUACCUUGAUAAGAAGCACCGGCUAACUACGUGCCAGCAGCCGCGGUAAUACGUAGGGUGCGAGCGUUAAUCGGAAUUACUGGGCGUAAAGCGUGCGCAGGCGGUUUUGUAAGUCGGAUGUGAAAUCCCCGGGCUCAACCUGGGAACUGCGUUCGAAACUGCAAGGCUAGAGUGUGUCAGAGGGGGGUAGAAUUCCACGUGUAGCAGUGAAAUGCGUAGAGACGUGGAGGAAUACCAAUGGCGGAGGCAGCCCCCUGGGAUAACACUGACGCUCAUGCACGAAAGCGUGGGGAGCAAACAGGAUUAGAUACCCUGGUAGUCCACGCCCUAAACGAUGUCAACUAGUUGUUGGUAGAGUAAAAUCUAUGAGUAACGUAGCUAACGCGUGAAGUUGACCGCCUGGGGAGUACGGUCGCA